Long non-coding RNA from Equus asinus (donkey), 1967 nucleotides. The record is from Ensembl. Lineage: Eukaryota; Metazoa; Chordata; Mammalia; Perissodactyla; Equidae.
UUAAUUCCAAAGUGAAUCUGCUUUUAGUGGCAGCAUCCCUUUGAUUAGUGGGUAGCAGAAACACAGCACACAGCGAGAAGGGAGUGGCCACAGGCAGUGUGAAUGAAGACAAGUCCGCAAAUUCCACACACUGAAUAGACUAUUGUCAACUCAGUUCCUUGAAAAAUGAAAGUGCUGGGUGUUCUCCCCAGGAACACAAAAAUAAGAGAAGAUCUCAUUCAACUCUGACAUUUUACAAAUGAGAUUAUCAUGUUGCAAAGGAAAUAACCAGAAGAUAUCAUUUGACACCAAUUCAUAGCAUUUAUUGACAUUUCCAUUUAAAAUGCUAGGAAAGCUGUAUAAAUUGUAAACAUGGAAACCAAACACUUGCAUAAAUUAUUUCAAAAACUCUACAGCACAUUAGAAAACAGUGCAGCUAAUUGAAGGGUAGAAACAUAACCGACAAAUAGAAGGGAGGGUUCAAUUACUAAAUCAUAUACCCAUACUGAAGUUUAAGUGUCCAUUUGAGACCAGCAAACCAUGAUUGUCAAGUUCAAGUUGCAGUAUUGAGGCCCCAAGGGACCUCAAUUUACUCUGCAUAUUUUCAUACAUUAACACUCAUAAUCUGGGAACGAGAGUGCAGAAAGAGUCAGAAGAACAUGGACCUUGACAAAGGAGGAGGAGACAAGCGGGCAUCCCAGAGCGGCUCUGCUCAGCCCCCCCUUUCCUGUAAGGACAAUGCUGGCCCGGUCUCCAUGCUCCCUCCACGAUGCUCUGAGGGACGGCAAAGUUGAGUUCUUCCUCCCCUUUUCUGAACCAAGCCCUCUGGUGCUUAGAGCAACUGAGCUAAUUGGUGGAGCAUCCAUCCCUCGUGCCUCCUCCUUGCCCCACAGGUCCAGGAGGACCAGUACAGGGUAUCUGGCUUGAACCUGGCCCUCUACUAUCCCUAACUGGCACACUUAGGGAGUCGAGUUACGAAUGCUUGAAAUCUGGUGGGCAUGAGACUACGAUGCUCCAACUUGUCCAGAAAGGUUCCAUGGAAUCAGAGACUCACAUCACUUACAUUUCCAUCUCUGUCCCUUCUACCUAUUCACUCUUUCUUUAAAUGUGAAGUGGCCCCAGAGCAGGAAAACCUGGAGCAAGAAGGAAAAGCAAGGAACGGCAUAAUUACCUACCCUGUAGGAAACUCAUCCGGACUAGAGUGCCUCCAAUUAGGACAUUCACUCCUUCCCUCACUCGCUCGCCGGUUCCUAACUUUGUUUCAUGUUUCCAAAGGCAUUUAAUAUUCUUUUCCUAAAUUUCAAUGCUGCUGCGUGUUCUUAAGAUAAAUUCUCAAGUGUCCUGUUACACACACAGCAUGGAAUUAGGAUCGUACCGUGAGGUUUCAGUUUUCAAGUCUUUUUAAUACUAGAGAAAAAAUCACCUCCAAGAAUAUCAAAAGAAACCUGAAAUAUACACACUCCUUGUUCAUUGGGUGAUGGGUGCAAGCCUAUUACAUUUUAUGAGUAUGUUACAGCAGUUGCUCAUAGAAACUCUUCUCACCUGUUAUCUGUUAACGUGUUGGAUGAAAUGCAAAAAUGAAGUUCAAGUUACCGUCCCAUAAAAACGUGUUUUGGGUUCAAAUGGUCUAUGUGCAGGUAGAGAAGUGGACUUCCCCACACUCCUGUCGGGGACAAAUGUGGAUAAGCAGGCUCUGGAGACUGGCUUUGGAGACUUGCUCUGGAGGUAGAAAUGAAAUGGCUAAAACUCAACUAGCACUGAAAUCAGCAUGGUAGUUAAGACUAGAGCCCUCUUCCCCCCGGCCCAGAACCUUAUCCCGCUUUCCUUCCAACUGACAAAUUCAUUCAUGGCUAAGAAUCUAGUAUGAAAGGGACAGAGAAAUUUAAUGAUUAACCUGUGAAUUACUGCAAAUGCAAAUCAGUGUCCGAGUGAUCGGCUUGGUCACUAGAGCACGAAGAAGUUGUGCCAAUGCAGUAAACACUGACCCU